UAUAGAAUUAUACUAAUAUAUUAUUGAUAGUACAAAUCACUUCGUACUAUUAGAUUUUGAUCAUUGGAUAAAGAAAUGUGCAAUUAAGAUAAUAUUAAUCUUUCUAAAGUUGAAUAGAUGAUUGAUUAAAUAGUAUGAUUUAAUGAGUGAAAAUUGUGAAAGAAAUAGAUCUAAUGGCACAAACUUUGAUAGCAACAAAUAUUUGGCGUGCUUGUGCUGUAAAGUUAUAAUAAUUUAUUUUAAAAUUAUAGAUAUGGUAAUGAUAUAUUUUAAUGAAAUGGAAGCUAUUCUAUCUAUAUAUUUACAAACAGUG
This 313-nucleotide long non-coding RNA is filed under the name Ananas comosus (pineapple). Its description in RNAcentral is "long non-coding RNA (ACOM_LNC035906)". Lineage: Eukaryota; Viridiplantae; Streptophyta; Magnoliopsida; Poales; Bromeliaceae. The record is from RNAcentral.